UUCAGACGGUCAUGUAGCGACUCUCACGGUAGACCAGCCGCCUGCAGAUUGUUCUGUUGC
Molecule: microRNA precursor, 60 nt
Filed under: Oreochromis niloticus (Nile tilapia)
Lineage: Eukaryota; Metazoa; Chordata; Actinopteri; Cichliformes; Cichlidae
Description: microRNA oni-mir-10663 precursor
Source: miRBase by way of RNAcentral